Molecule: non-coding RNA, 21 nt
Filed under: Arabidopsis thaliana (thale cress)
Lineage: Eukaryota; Viridiplantae; Streptophyta; Magnoliopsida; Brassicales; Brassicaceae
Source: RNAcentral
CAAAACAGUGUUUAGUGUCUC